Molecule: long non-coding RNA, 1804 nt
Organism: Stegostoma tigrinum
Lineage: Eukaryota; Metazoa; Chordata; Chondrichthyes; Orectolobiformes; Stegostomatidae
Exons: 3
Source: RefSeq, a predicted model, not a curated record
GAGGCGUGGUUAAUCUUCGGCCACGUGACUCUCGACACCUACGGGGCGGAGCCUCUUGUGGCUCCCCCUCCCCCAUAAAAGCACAACAAACACACGCCUUACAGUGAAGGUCACUGAUUGCAGAUCAAUCUCGUUUACAUUCAGGUUUUCAAGAACCAGUCUAGCUAGUUAAACAUCAACUGACCCACGGUGUGUUAUAGUGGUGGUUGGCCCAGGUAGAUGUGGCUGCAAUGAAUGGUCAAGUAGAGAGGAGCUGGAACAAAAACCUGAAGACUGUCAAUCAUGUUGUGCUGAGACUGGUUGGCUCGCCGAGCUGGUUUCUUGUUUCGCAGACAUUUCAUUACCAUGCUGGUAACAUCCUGAGUGCAGCCUCCAAUGAAGCAUCGAUGUGUUUUCCUGCCUGGUUUUUUAAACUCUGGGGCCCAUUGAGAUGGAUCGCCUCACUUCCAGCUUUCCUUCUUAGUGGAAUGUAUAUGGGGUCGAUUUCAAUAUGUUUAUUAAUAGCAUGCUUUGUGGAGUGCCAGCCUUUUAGCAACUCUCGUGCCUGUCUCUGCCUAGCUUGUCCCCGGAUUUUUUUUCACAACAAUUAUUCUGCACUUGGUACAAUACAUCCAUCCAGCACAAUUUCCCGUUAUUCUCGUAUUGCCUGUCAUCCAGGAAAAAGUGAUUAAUUGAACAUGCUGAGUCAAACAGAGAAUUUGUGGAUGAUGUGCCACAACCUGGAUGAUUGUAAACUGGGAGUUCAGGGCUGUCAAAGCAAGUCAAGAUUGUUGGAGGCAUCACUGGUGAUCCAUGUUUGGCUAAUCUGACGGCUCAAGCCCUGCCUCGAUACAGAAUAGAUAAAUAUGUGAAAGGGAACAAUUUAUAGGGCUAAAAGGAAGGUGUAGAGAAUAAGGCUAGCUGGACAGCUCUUUCAAAGAGUCAGUACAAACAUGAUGGGCUAAAUGGUCUCUUCUGUAUAAGAGCAAUAGGUCCUCCUGGUGUUCUGAACUAGAUUGCUCUUUCAGUAUCAUAGCUCACAGACAAAUUGAUAAUUGAUCUUUUUCUGAUCUUCCUUGACAUAAGUGGCUGUUUGUUUUGUGACAUAGCAAGCUACUUAUAUUUCAGAGUAAUUCAUUGUACACAAUGCACUGUUCAAAAGCAAGCACUUUUUUCUUUCUCAAGCUGCACUGGCUUUACCAGCUAUCAUUAUUUCCUCUAAUUGGCCAUUCUUUAUGUUUCAUGAGUGUUAGCAGCUUAUUAAACAGUGCCAGUCUCACAGUUAACUUAAUCUCAUUUUUCCGGUGACAUUCACACACAUCCCUUUAACAGGAGGAGCCUUGUUAAUUUACACUGGGGACUAAUUGUUUCCUGUCAUAGUGCCUUUGGUCAGGUCAGCUAGCUCUGUGUAAAUUUGGUUGCUAACUCUCGGUGUAUACCAGGAGGAAUACCUGUUGCCUCAAAUCAUCCAAUUAUCCAUCCCCCGCCUCCUUUAGCAGCGGUACCUUGCUGCUGCGUACACAUUCCAGCCCCAGGACCAAUUAGACAGGGGAAUGGCUACUUUGGACAGGAUUCUCACCCCUGAAUUGAGAUAAAUAUAGAGACAGGUGGGCCUUUCAAAAGGUUGUCAACGAGUUUUGAUCGUUUUUAAAGGUUGUUAAGGUAAUGCAAAGGCCAACUAAAGCCAGUGAUUGGGGGCAGCAUGACAGCUCCUCCCUGGAAGAGACCUGGGGUCCAAUGCUCCAGGUUAUCUUUGCUAGAUCUGCCCUGCAUUUCAAAACUGCCAUUUAUUCUCUCCGAGAUAGUUGGAACUGCAGAUGCUGGA